This is a non-coding RNA of Hymenopellis radicata, 94 nucleotides long. The record is from the annotation of a GenBank genome assembly. NCBI's taxonomy places the organism in Eukaryota, Fungi, Basidiomycota, Agaricomycetes, Agaricales, Physalacriaceae.
GGCAACUUGGCCGAGUGGUUAAGGCGCUGGAAUUAGGCACAGCUGUGGCGCAAUCCAGUCCUUCGGGGCGUGAGUUCGAACCUCACAGUUGUCA